UUAAAUACACAUGGAAUAAAACUUGAUCAUAAUACAACUUAUUUCCCUUAAAUACACAAUUUGUAGAGAUAAUUCAAUAUUUUCUUCAUAGUAUUCAGCUCCAUAGCAUUCUUGUUUGAUGGUGAAUGUAUGUCCCAUAUAAAAUACAAGAUUCUUAAAGUAAGAUGUUUUAGCCAAGGCGCCAUCAGGUAGUACCCACAAGAGUCUUUGUUCUACCAAGCCACCAAUCUUUUGUUUUUGGGUUGAUAAACUGUUGUGAAUAUACGAUACUUAGACUUUAUUUGUGAUAAAAUAAAUUCUUUGUAUUUACAUAGAUAAUUUACUCUCGAAAUGUUAAAUAACCUUUU
This 347-nucleotide long non-coding RNA is filed under the name Medicago truncatula (barrel medic). Its description in RNAcentral is "long non-coding RNA (MTRU_LNC002714)". Lineage: Eukaryota; Viridiplantae; Streptophyta; Magnoliopsida; Fabales; Fabaceae. The record is from RNAcentral.